Molecule: ribosomal RNA, 497 nt
Filed under: uncultured bacterium
Lineage: Bacteria
Description: partial 16S ribosomal RNA
Rfam family: Bacterial small subunit ribosomal RNA
Source: RNAcentral
GAUGAACGCUGGCGGCGUGCCUAAUACAUGCAAGUCGAGCGAACAGACGAGGAGCUUGCUCCUCUGACGUUAGCGGCGGACGGGUGAGUAACACGUGGAUAACCUACCUAUAAGACUGGGAUAACUUCGGGAAACCGGAGCUAAUACCGGAUAAUAUAUUGAACCGCAUGGUUCAAUAGUGAAAGACGGUUUUGCUGUCACUUAUAGAUGGUUCCGCGCUGCAUUAGCUAGUUGGUAAGGUAACGGCUUACCAAGGCAACGAUGCGUAGCCGACCUGAGAGGGUGAUCAGCCACACUGGAACUGAGACACGGUCCAGACUCCUACGGGAGGCAGCAGUAGGGAAUCUUCCGCAAUGGGCGAAAGCCUGACGGAGCAACGCCGCGUGAGUGAUGAAGGUCUUCGGAUCGUAAAACUCUGUUAUUAGGGAAGAACAAAUGUGUAAGUAACUAUGCACGUCUUGACGGUACCUAAUCAAAAAGCCACGGCUAACUACGUG